RNAcentral lists this long non-coding RNA (1164 nucleotides) under Equus caballus (horse). RNAcentral's name for it is "lncRNA (ENSECAG00000049710.1)". Lineage: Eukaryota; Metazoa; Chordata; Mammalia; Perissodactyla; Equidae. The record is from RNAcentral.
UUAGUGUUCUGGGAUGGAAUGGAGUUCAGGGUACUUUUUUUCUCUCUCAGGCUUGAAUUUGCAACUGGCGAUGCCUAAUGACCAAGGAAGGAGUUUUCAAAAACAGAGCCCAGAGAUGGAUGAGGGCCCAGGCAGGCUGGACAGUCACCGCUGCUAGCGGGAGGGUCCUUAGGUCAGGAGCAGGAUGUGCUUGCAAGCUUCCUGGCAGCUGGCCUCCAGCUGAGGAAACUGCAGUAGUGAAGGACAGGCAGGGACCUGAGCAAAUCUGAGUAAUCACCCCUUUGGGAGAAAAACUGCAUAAAUAAUUACUUGAAAUUCUCUCCUAAAGUAGAGUCAGAAGAAAACGAAUGUUGCCUAGAUGGGAGCCAACACCCAGCAAUAACUUCAGCUAAUAGAGGAUGUGAUGGCUCAGAAGAUAAACAAAAUAAAGUGUAGGAGAAGCACAAGGAAAACAAACGAGAGAAAUAGGGAGGGAAUAAAACACAGGAGGAGCUGGGAGGAAGCAGCUGCUUGGGGACAAGCCAGGGAGAAAUGUGAAAAGAAAAAAGAAAGAGCUUACCAGGCUGGUGGGGGAUGUUGAUAAUGGGGGAGGCUGUGCAUGUGUUGGGGCAGGGGCUAUAUGGGAAAUCUCUGUACCUUCCUCUCAAUUUUGCUGUGGACCUAAAACUGCUCUCAAAAAAUUGAAGUCUAAAAGAAAAGAGCCUAGAAAAAGCCAAUCAAACAGGGAACAUCCCUCUCGGGAUUUUGGCUCAAGGAAAAAAGAGAAACAGCCACGCAGAACAGAGGAGGGCCCCAAACCCGAGAGGACAGGCUACCGGAGGAGGUCUUCAACAGCUGAGAAAACUGAACAGGGAGCAGCUAGCAGUUUGGGCCAGUGCCACAGCAAGGCAGCAAGAAAGCUGGAAUCCAACGGAAACGUCUCACACUCGACGGUGGACUUUCUGUGCCGGGAAACGUGAAAUAAGAAGGAAAAAUUAUAAAUUAGGGUUGUGGAAGUAUUUUAAUCAACUUUAUAUAUUUACCAAUUAAAAGCUAGUAUUUCAUAAGUAAUACCAUUUAAGAGUAGUACUAAGAAAGAAUAAUAUGGUUUUUGUUUUAGUCAUUUGCUUCUUGAUCUCUCAUAAUUAAAAUUUGCCAUAAAAACUCAAAUUUUCAUCUUUUUAG